GAGGGACAGCACCUUCCUCCUGGGAGGCCUCUGCCAGCAGGGCUGGGAGGUAAGGGGCAUAGAGACCCUCCUGCCCUAACUGGUUCCUUCUGCACUCACAAGCUGGUUGCUUGCAAAGUCUAAGAAGCGAUGGUUGCUCCAUGUGUUAUCUCUUCUGGAGCCAGCCACUUUCUCUUGGUGUCAAACUUGGACAAUUCCCAUGGGCAGUGCUGAAAAGACUUUUUCCAGUUUUAAAGAUCUUCUCUGAAAGCAGUUGCUAGGAUCUUGUUAGUGAGGAUUAAAUACUUGGAACAAUACAGCACAAGCGUCAGUUUUACUGGAAGUGAAUAGGGCAAACUUUCCUAUAAGCUGCCCUACUUACAACCCAGAGGUGCACCACGGGAUGGCUUCCACAGCCUCACAAUGGAAAGAGCCACAGUUCUCCAUGCUGCAUGGCAAAGCAAAGGCAGGAAAGUAAACACCAGGAUUCACCAGGUGCAAAGCAAACAGCUCAAUAACCCCCACAGACAAAGCCUGCCCUGCUCCGGUGCUCAUAGGUGGAGCUCAGAGGUGAGUUCCCAGGUGCCUCCCAGUGCCCAGCCCAAACCCAGCUGCCUUCAGCCUCUCAGCUGCCACAGGUAUGUGCAAUCAGAUAUGGAAGCCAGCUGCAACGUGAGCUAUGUUUUCUUUUCAAGCUUCCUCUCUUUACCUUAAAUGCUACAUCUUCCACAGCUUUAAGGUUCUCCAUGCCUUUGAAAAAGAAUGCCAGAGCAAGAAGAGCAAACAAAAGGCUGCAGCUCCCCAGCUCCAAGAGCAGAGAAGAGGAGUCCUCACCCAGAAGUGACCUAGGGGCUUUGAACACCAGGCACUGUUAGCUGUAAAUGCAGACCACUACAACGUACUCAAGAUUUCCAAUUGCAGUAAAGGCACUGGAAGCAAGAGAUGGAUAGGUUGCCAGCUGUGUCAGUAUGAUAAGACAAGCAAGGACACCAAAGCUUUCAUUUGAAAGCAAAUUGAAACCUCAGCAGUGACACAGGGCAAAUCAGCACAUAAGCUGCACAUGGAACUCUGAGCAAGGCACUGUGGACAAACGUUUCUUAUCUUCAGCUGACGUCAAUAGGAAUAGCAGCAAAGUGUUUCCUAGAGAGGAGGAGGAGAAAGUCCAAAAGAUUUUUCAGCAGUAAAAAAGUGCUUUUCAUAAAGCAGUGCUUUAUAAAAUGUUACUGUUUUUCACUGACAGUGAGCAGACAGAAUCACCCACAAGUUCUCCCUGAAGUCUGCUUGUAUGGAUUUAACAGUGCCAUUCCUGCAGGAACGCUGCCUGCUAUCUCCACUGCAUCCCAAAGACAACCUGGGAAGCAAAGUCUCUCAAACAGCACAAGGUACAGCUGUGGUAAUUACCCACUUGCUCUGAUGGUGUGUGAAACAGGACUCUGGGAGAGGCAGGAUGUGGUGAUUGAGGCUUUCUGCAAGAUGAUGCUCCCCACAGUCACCUCCUCAUUUCUCAGAGUUCCUGCUCCUCCAGCAGCCCAUCUUACUGACUUCUGCUUUGCUUUCUAGUUUUAUUAUUUUCAUUAAAUCUAAUUAUCAGAAGAGUGGAUGAGGCCCAUCUUGGAUGGAUUUUUUUCUUUGUCAGUAGUUUUCAUUUUGCCAAGUUUGUUUUUUGUUUGUUUUUUUUUUGCUUUUAAACUCUUUUGAUAAUAAGAGGCAGGUGACCCAGCGGCAAAAACACUGCUCAUCAGCCUGGACAGCUCAGGGGAGGCUUUCUCCCCCCCGAAAGCCCAGAGGAACGAGCCUAUACUGCUGCAGAGCUGGAAUUGCACCCAGACCACAGGGAACUGUCCUGAGCGUCCCAGAAUAUUGCCCAGUCUACCUUUAGUAUCUGUCUGCUGUUUUUGGGUUGCAUUUGCAGAGCGGGGCUUGGGCUGCAUGCAGACCCAAUGGGUCUUGUUGUUGUGAGUAAUGGUGUAAGAGCAGCAGAUCCCAGAGGCUAGUCUGCCAGGGGGAACAAAGAGAUGGUUAUAGGUUUGGGGAGAAAAAAUAAGGAAACGAAAAAGAAAAGAGAACAAAGAGCCAUUGACAAGAGGCACAAAUAAGCUAGGUCUUAAGUGUCAUUCCCCAUCUGAUAAAACAAAAAUGUCCAGAGCAACCAUUAAGAAAAAAAAAUACCAUGCAGGAUUAAAUAUCUGUUUGGCUCUAUGCACUGACUGUACACAGAGCUCUUUUUCCUUUUGUGCUCUCAGUUAUCUUUCUUCUUGAUUAAUGUGGAGCUGGCCACAUACUCAUAUGCGGAUGAUGCAGACCCAUAUUUUGGGAGCUGCCUUUGUGUAGUCUGUACUUUCAGGAGCCUGGAGCAAAGCAAAACAGCAACAUGUGUGUGAAGGAAAGGGGAAGGUGCUUGGGCUGAUCCUAUGAGAUGCAUCAAAGGGGUAAGGAUGAGAGUUUGAGAAGGAUUCAAAGCCAGAGACAACUCCAGCAAUGGGUUAAAGAUGGCAAGACAGUACUGAAUAAAAAAUACACAGCAGAAAAGGACAAGUGUGGGGAGUGCCGCUGUGGGCUGCUUUGGGGCAAACAGGACAUUGGUGACCAUCAGGCAGCAAGGAGAUGGACGGUGGCUGCCCCUCACUGGGCUGUGAGCAGUGAGGGGGCUGCACGCAAUUUGGCUUUGCCAUGCCAAAGAGAAGGGGGAUAAUCCAUUCUCCACAGCACGUGGAGGUAAAUAAGGCAAGAAAUAAUGAGAUUAAAGUGCAGCAAGGGAAGCUCAAUACAGCUGUCAGAAAAAACUUCCUAAUGGUAAGGACAGCUGCAUAUUGCAAUUGCCUCUUGGGGCCAUGGCAUCUCCACUGGAGUGAGACGCAUGGGGCUGUCAGGAACGGCUGGGUAAAGCUGCAUGCAUUUCUAGGCAGCAGAGAUGUGCUGGUGCUUCUUGUUAGUUUCUCUUCCAGCCACACUUUUGGAAAACAAUUGAAGGACUGCCAAGGUCAAUGGCACUGCGGUGAUUUCCACUGGUGACAGACAGAAAGCUAGAUCACCAGUGUGUCUCUGAAGCACAGGAUGUGAUGUCCUCUUGGGAACCCAGCUGGGGAAACUGGAAUUCAAAGGUAAACAAAAUCUUCUGACUCACAGUCCCUAUGAUCAGCCACGAGACAAUCCUCCUCUCCCAUCUUAAGGUCUGUAAGGCCCAAGAAGCUGACUCUGACUCACUGAGGAGGCAUGAGGACUGGGCCAUUUCCACAGUGUGCACCUUUCUUCCUGACAGCGCAGACAGAAGUAAGACGGGAGAAAGCCUGCACCGCACUGGCUCCAGUUUCUCUUCGGGUAUCACUGGGCUUUGAUUGUUCUCUUUGGUACAAGAAUAAGUUAAACUGAUAUUUGCAAGUAUCUAUUUGAACUCCCCUGCACUGAUAGGCACAGGCAUUGGGAAAUUUGUAUUUAGUACCACCACUGCUGCAUCUUUGAACUUAAUUUUGGAAGCACCCCUGUCACUCCAGUGAAAGUAAAACACGAUAUGGAACUAAAAGCUUCCUGCCAGACUUACAAUGCUAAGUGCUGCCAGCUUUUUCUGGAGAAGAGUCUUCAGUAAAAUAUUUUCUAAUUGAGGAAUGCUGAUUCCUUCAAACUGUUGACUUUCUGUUGAGAACCACAAAGAAAAAC
Molecule: long non-coding RNA, 3633 nt
Organism: Tympanuchus pallidicinctus (lesser prairie-chicken)
Lineage: Eukaryota; Metazoa; Chordata; Aves; Galliformes; Phasianidae
Exons: 3
Source: RefSeq, a predicted model, not a curated record